RNAcentral lists this ribosomal RNA (465 nucleotides) under uncultured bacterium. RNAcentral describes it as "partial 16S ribosomal RNA". It matches the Rfam family "Bacterial small subunit ribosomal RNA", at positions 28 to 507 of the family's 1533-position model. The record is from RNAcentral.
GACGAACGCUGGCGGCGUGCUUAACACAUGCAAGUCGAACGGAAAGGCCCCCUUGUGGGGUACUCGAGUGGCGAACGGGUGAGUAACACGUGAGUAACCUACCCUUGACUUUGGGAUAACUUCAGGAAACUGGGGCUAAUACCGGAUAGGAGCUCCUGCUGCAUGGUGGGGGUUGGAAAGUUUCGGCGGUUGGGGAUGGACUCGCGGCUUAUCAGCUUGUUGGUGGGGUAGUGGCUCACCAAGGCUUUGACGGGUAGCCGGCCUGAGAGGGUGACCGGCCACAUUGGGACUGAGAUACGGCCCAGACUCCUACGGGAGGCAGCAGUGGGGAAUAUUGCACAAUGGGCGGAAGCCUGAUGCAGCAACGCCGCGUGCGGGAUGACGGCCUUCGGGUUGUAAACCGCUUUCGCCUGUGACGAAGCGUGGGUGACGGUAAUGGGUAAAGAAGCACCGGCUAACUACGUG